Molecule: transfer RNA, 70 nt
Filed under: Cynoglossus trigrammus
Lineage: Eukaryota; Metazoa; Chordata; Actinopteri; Pleuronectiformes; Cynoglossidae
Description: tRNA-Pro
Rfam family: tRNA
About the family: Transfer RNA (tRNA) molecules are approximately 80 nucleotides in length.
Source: RNAcentral
CAGGAAAUAGUUUAAAGUAAAAUUCUAGCUUUGGGUGCUAGUGAUAGGAAUUUAAGUUUCCUUUUUCUGA